UUAUGGGAUGGUGAGAUAUUUUGCUAACAGACAAACAAAAACACGAGCAAAAACAUUACAACCCACCUUUUGGCAGUAGAGUUAGACUUGUUUAAAUAUUUGUUUCAGUGUUGGGAGAUAAAUUAUGGGAUGGACUUCAAAAAAAGAAUGAAAAUAUAUAUUUAAGGACUAUGGAGUAACAUCACUAAUGUGAAUUUUAUUGAGGCAAUAUUAAGCUUUGGCUUCAGCCUUCCGUUUUUUCGGUUUCAGGUUUUUUUUUAAAUUGUUUUUGUGAAACGAACCUUCCUAAAUGUUUUUAAUAAACACAAACUAAAUAAAAAGAUGUACCAUACAGGUAUUUGUCUUUAGGGAGGAAGUCGAAGAACAGAAUCUACUUCUGUUGGGUAUUUUUAUAAAUGUACCUUUUUGAGACCUAAAAGAUGCCCAUUACACAUCAUGAAUCUCUGUGUUGGUAUGUUCAUAAAAAGGUUGAGCAAAGAUGUUAAUUGAGAGAACUCUGUAACUUGAGAAGGUCCGCCUUCUCCCCCCAUCCAUUUGGUGAAUAAAGCCCCUGAAGAACUGGGAGCACAGGGGAGUGACGUGGGGGAAGCCUCGGAGGAGGUUUCUCUGCGUUAACUCUCCAUGCAUUUGGAGACUCAGGGUAAAAUGUCUUCCUUGUUGUCAUGUGGGUUUAUUUCAGGUUCCAGGGUUAUGGAGGUUAAGUAUUAUCUACCAGAUAAUUGCAGAAUGCAGGUAUACAGAGCAGGUGAGGAUAAAGCUUUGAGGCUGAAGCAGAAUGGGGCCUGGUUGAGCUACACACAUGGACAUUACAAAUAAUCAAUUUACUCUCUCUCUCUAUCAAAGGGUGUGUCGUCCUUUAAGGUAAUAUGGGAUAAAAUCAAAUUACCUAACAAGUGGUGGAGGAUGCGGGCAAGGCAGAGCCGUCGAUGGGAAGCUGGCUUCGGGGAGCGGUACAGGCGCCACUUACCUCAUCAAAGCCCGGGGAACUAAAAUUGUUUCACCGGCCGGCUUUUUAGCCUUGCAGGCAGAUUCCCAUUCAAGCUCUCGCCUUCCCGAACUCAGGACGAAAUUACCACGGAGAGUAGGUUAAUUCAUUAAUUCAUUAAGCUAAUUCAGUAAUUUGUGUCUGUUUCUUUAACCACUGGCAGUGUGGUUUGAGUUGAUUGAGGAGGGCCAGUUGCGGCCGUGUGUGUGUGUGAACCUCUUGAGAGUAUGAGAAAGUUGAUGACCGGAAAAAGACGUGUGAGAUUGUUUUGGCUAAAAUUGGUUUGAGUCUGUUUCUGGUAAGGGGAGACUGUGGAUCAGCUCUGGUGAGCUCUGGAGAGCAGAGUUCCGGUGGGAGUUCGCUUCGCAGUCUGGCAGCUGAAUAGCACACUGGGCAAGACAGGCUGGGAGACUCCUUGAUUUGUGUCCUGCUGUGAUGUGAAGAUGGGAACUCGAUUAACAGGUGAUAAAGAUCAGUGGCUGGCUGCAUUGGUUCCUGCAGAAAACAUCAGAGGACACAGAUCGGGGACAAGACGCUUUGUGCCCCAUUGACCCUCAACAACCAGGAAGGUAUUGUGAUUGCAACACAAGAUGGUUUGCUAUGUCCUGUCCUGAUACUCUCCGAAUGCAGGAAUGGCUCAGACUCAGGAGAAGAGUGUCGAUGAAAAGACUUCAGAGGAUCUGAGUUCCUUUGAGCAAGCAGCUGUGGAAGUUGAACGCAUGUCUAACAGAAUGCAAAUUGGUCUGUGCCUGUGGCAUCCUGCUGUGGGUCUUUGAAACGUUUGUGACUUGUAGGUGUGUUGAAAAGGAGGUGGAGCCCACAAUCCAAGAUGGAGGAAGCACGAAAGACGUGGCUAACUGCUGACUUGCAGUCCAAGACGGAAGUGACACAAACCACCGUCACCAGCUGAGCUAAUGUUAAACCACAAACCAAGUGGAUCAGUUAGCCCAAACCGGUACCAACCUGUAAGCUGAUGUAAAACCACAAAACCCGCUGUGGGCCAGUCAGCUCUCUCAGGAAGUGACCUGCGUCGACACGUCAGCGGGACGACGCAAAGCUGAGAGCACAGUGUGACCGAGAUAUCACACCUGAACUGGAGAUGAGGUGCAGAGGUCAAACACCAACUUCAGGAGGGAACCAGAACUGCAGGUCAGCCAGCCACAGAAAACUCAAAACCUGUGACACCUGUUCAGUCCUACAAGCGAUCGAUUGCAGCACAGGAGGUAACGACGGAUGUGGAGCAGAAGAUCCACAAGUGUUUGAUGACAAAUGAUAUGGGUUACUUUAAUAAAGCUAGGAAUUCAAGAUUAUUAUGUAGGUUUUGGUGUCUAGAUUAUUCAUUCCUAAUUCCAGGUUUUAACUCUUGCUCUGGGUUUUGUUGACAGGAUAAUCAUUGCUCAAAGGUAGCAUUCAGGGGGGAUAAGUUAAUGAAGCUAGAAAUACAGGAUAAAAUUGGGUUUGAUGUCUGGUUUAAUGUUGAACUAAAAUCUGAUUGAUUAAUUGGUCAUUUCAAAUUCCAGGUUAGGUGUGUCCUAAUUUCAUGUUAAUGUUGUUUUAUUGGUUUAAUCUUUUAUUGCUCAAAAAGUCACAUCAGGAGGGAAUGUUGGGUAUUUUUAUAAUUGUACCUUUUUGAGACCUAAAAGAUGCCCAUUACACAUCAUGAAUCUCUGUGUUGGUAUGUUCAUAAAAAGGUUGAGCAAAGAUGUUAAUUGAGAGAACUCUGUAACUUGAGAAGGUCCGCCUUCUCCCCCCAUCCAUUUGGUGAAUAAAGCCCCUGAAGAACUGGGAGCACAGGGGAGUGACGUGGGGGAAGCCUCGGAGGAGGUUUCUCUGCGUUAACUCUCCAUGCAUUUGGAGACUCAGGGUAAAAUGUC
This is a long non-coding RNA of Nothobranchius furzeri (turquoise killifish), 2859 nucleotides long. RefSeq lists it as uncharacterized. The record is from RefSeq and is a predicted model, not a curated record. Lineage: Eukaryota; Metazoa; Chordata; Actinopteri; Cyprinodontiformes; Nothobranchiidae.